Non-coding RNA from Pan troglodytes (chimpanzee), 305 nucleotides. It matches the Rfam family "Metazoan signal recognition particle RNA". From Rfam's summary of the family: The signal recognition particle (SRP) is a universally conserved ribonucleoprotein. It is involved in the co-translational targeting of proteins to membranes. The record is from Rfam. NCBI's taxonomy places the organism in Eukaryota, Metazoa, Chordata, Mammalia, Primates, Hominidae.
GCCAGGUGUGGUGGCACGUGCCUGUAGUCCCAGCUACUCAGGAGGCUGAGGCAGGAGAAUUGCUUGAACCUGGGAGGCAGAGGUUGCAGUCAGCCGAGAUCGUGACACUGCACUCCAGCCUGGGUUACAAACAAAAAAACACUAGUAAAAUUCUAAAUUCAAAGAUUAUAAAAAUAAGUACCAUUUUUUGUUUGUUUGUUUUUUGAGACAGAGUCUCGCUCUGUCACCCAGGCUGGAGUACAGUGACACAAUCUCGGCUCACUGCAACUUCUGCCUCCCAGGUUCAAAUGAUUCUCCUGCCUCAG